Molecule: ribosomal RNA, 848 nt
Filed under: Cryptosporella alni-sinuatae
Lineage: Eukaryota; Fungi; Ascomycota; Sordariomycetes; Diaporthales; Gnomoniaceae
Description: LSU rRNA
Rfam family: Eukaryotic large subunit ribosomal RNA
Source: RNAcentral
UUAGCAUAUCAAUAAGCGGAGGAAAAGAAACCAACAGGGAUUGCCCUAGUAACGGCGAGUGAAGCGGCAACAGCUCAAAUUUGAAAUCUGGCUUCGGCCCGAGUUGUAAUUUGCAGAGGAUGUUUAUGGUGCGGUACCUUCCGAGUUCCCUGGAACGGGACGCCACAGAGGGUGAGAGCCCCGUCUGGUUGGAUACCAAACCUGUGUUAAACUCCUUCAACGAGUCGAGUAGUUUGGGAAUGCUGCUCUAAAUGGGAGGUAAAUCUCUUCUAAAGCUAAAUACCGGCCAGAGACCGAUAGCGCACAAGUAGAGUGAUCGAAAGAUGAAAAGCACCUUGAAAAGGGGGUUAAACAGUACGUGAAAUUGUUGAAAGGGAAGCGUUUAUGACCAGACUUGUGUCGUGUGGCUCAUCCGAGGUUUUCCCCGGUGCACUCCACACGGCUCAGGCCAACAUCGGUUCUCGUUGGGGGAUAAGAACAGUAGGAACGUGGCCCCCUUCGGGGGGUGUUAUAGCCUAUUGUACGAUACUCUGACGGGGACCGAGGACCGCGCUUCGGCUAGGAUGUUGGCGUAAUGGUCAUUAGCGACCCGUCUUGAAACACGGACCAAGGAGUCGUCCAUUAGAGCGAGCGUUUGGGUGUAAAACCCGCACGCGUAAUGAAAGUGAAAUUAGGUGAGAGCUUCGGCGCAUCAUCGACCGAUCCUGAAGUUUACGGAUGGAUUUGAGUAAGAGUUUUAACGGACGGACCCGAAAGACAGUGAACUAUGCUUGAAUAGGGUGAAGCCAGAGGAAACUCUGGUGGAGGCUCGCAGCGGUUCUGACGUGCAAAUCGAUCGUCAAAUUUGA